UUAUGGCUCAGGAUUAACGCUGGCGGCGUGCCUAAUACAUGCAAGUCGAAUGGUAGUAGCAAUACAAACCAUGGCGAACGGGUGAGUAACACGUAGGCAACCUGACUUUAAGACGAGGAUAACCGUUGGAAACGACGGAUAAUACUGGAUAGGACAUCACAAAGGGCAUCCUUAGAUGUUUAAAGGUUAUCAUGCCACUUAGAGAGGGGCCUGCGGCGCAUUAGCUAGUUGGUGAGAUAACAGCCCACCAAGGCGAUGAUGCGUAGCCGGACUGAGAGGUUGAACGGCCACAAUGGAACUGAGAACGGUCCAUACUCCUACGGGAGGCAGCAGUAGGGAAUUUUCGGCAAUGGGCGCAAGCCUGAACCCGAGCAACGCCGCGUGAACAAAGAAGUUAUUCGUAAUGUAAAGUUCUUUUAUCUGGGAAGAAAAAACAAAUUGACGGUACCAGAUGAAUAAGCUCCGGCUAACUACGUGCCAGCCGCUGC
Molecule: ribosomal RNA, 488 nt
Filed under: uncultured bacterium
Lineage: Bacteria
Description: bacterial SSU rRNA
Rfam family: Bacterial small subunit ribosomal RNA
Source: RNAcentral